UUUCCGUAGGUGAACCUGCGGAAGGAUCAUUAAAGAAUAUAGGCUUCGCGGCCGCUAUUCUAACCCUUUGUAUACCAACCUUUGUUGCUUUGGCGGGCCUCCGGCGCAAGCUGGGUCGCGCCCGCCAGAGGACCUAAACUCUAGAAUCAUUGCUGUCUGAGUACUAUUUUAAUAGUUAAAACUUUCAACAACGGAUCUCUUGGUUUUGGCAUCGAUGAAGAACGCAGC
This 228-nucleotide unclassified non-coding RNA is filed under the name uncultured fungus. RNAcentral describes it as "sequence contains ITS1, 5.8S rRNA gene". The stretch from base 180 to 228 matches the Rfam family "5.8S ribosomal RNA", at positions 1 to 49 of the family's 154-position model. Lineage: Eukaryota; Fungi. The record is from RNAcentral.